This 254-nucleotide ribosomal RNA is filed under the name uncultured bacterium. RNAcentral's name for it is "partial 16S ribosomal RNA". It matches the Rfam family "Bacterial small subunit ribosomal RNA", at positions 524 to 776 of the family's 1533-position model. The record is from RNAcentral.
UACGAAGGGGGCUAGCGUUGCUCGGAAUUACUGGGCGUAAAGCGCACGUAGGCGGCUCGUUAAGUCAGGGGUGAAAUCCCGAGGCUCAACCUCGGAACUGCCUUUGAUACUGGCGAUCUUUGAGUCCGGGAGAGGUGAGUGGAACUCCGAGUGUAGAGGUGAAAUUCGUAGAUCUUCGGAAGAACACCAGUGGCGAAGGCGGCUCACUGGCCCGGUACUGACGCUCAGGUGCGAAAGCGUGGGGAGCAAACAGG